Molecule: ribosomal RNA, 253 nt
Filed under: uncultured bacterium
Lineage: Bacteria
Description: partial 16S ribosomal RNA
Rfam family: Bacterial small subunit ribosomal RNA
Source: RNAcentral
UACGGGGGGGGUAAGCGUUGUUCGGAAUUACUGGGCGUAAAGGGCUCGUAGGCGGCCAACUAAGUCAUACGUGAAAUCCCUCAGCUUAACUGGGGAACUGCGUGUGAUACUGGAUGGCUUGGAUUUGGGAGAGGGAUGCGGAAUUCCAGGUGUAGCGGUGAAAUGCGUAGAUAUCUGGAGGAACACCGGUGGCGAAGGCGGCAUCCUGGACCAAUAUUGACGCUCAGGUGCGAAAGCGUGGGGAGCAAACAGG